This 726-nucleotide ribosomal RNA is filed under the name Ancula gibbosa. Its description in RNAcentral is "eukaryotic LSU rRNA". It matches the Rfam family "Eukaryotic large subunit ribosomal RNA", at positions 76 to 642 of the family's 3401-position model. Lineage: Eukaryota; Metazoa; Mollusca; Gastropoda; Nudibranchia; Goniodorididae. The record is from RNAcentral.
UCCCCCAGUAACGGCGAGUGAAGCGGGAAGAGCCCAGCACCGAAUCCCCCGGCCGAACGGUCGGCGGGAACUGUGGUGUGCGGGACGCCACCAGUCGCGCGGGCGGGCGCCGAAGUCCUCCUGAUCGAGGCCUCUCCCACGGUGGGUGUAAGGCCUUUACAGGUGCCUGCGCGCGCGGCCGCGAGCGUCCCAGGAGUCGGGUUGUUUGGGAAUGCAGCCCUAAGCGGGUGGUAAACUCCAUCUAAGGCUAAAUACUGGCGCGAGUCCGAUAGCGGACAAGUACCGUGAGGGAAGGUUGAAAAGAACUUUGAAGAGAGAGUUCAAGAGUACGUGAAACUGCCCAGAGGCAAACGGGCGGACCCGCAAAGUCGGCCGGCGGAAUUCASCCCGGCCGGGGGGAGGGGGUUGGCGUGUGCGGAUCUUCGGACCGUCGCGUCGGCUCUCCUUUCUCCGCCGGGUGCACUUUCCGUCGGCCGAGCGCCACGACCGGCUCCUGGCCGGCCAUGAGCCCGGUGAGGAAGGUAGGCGGGGAAGGAGUCUCUCUUUCUCCCGCUGUUACAGACUCGCCGCGGAUCGGGCCCGGUUUCGAGGGGGCCGAGGAACUUCCGUGCUCCGAUACCGGCCGCCGGGCCGAGGGCGGGGGUGCGACUGGCGGGGACUGGGCAACCGUGCCUGCCGACCGCCCCCGUUCGACGACACGGCGCGUCGCGGAGUGCCACGGGUCAG